Molecule: long non-coding RNA, 837 nt
Organism: Drosophila nasuta
Lineage: Eukaryota; Metazoa; Arthropoda; Insecta; Diptera; Drosophilidae
Exons: 3
Source: RefSeq, a predicted model, not a curated record
UUACUUUAAAGAGAGAGUAAAUAAACUAUUUAGAGACACAAAUGCACAUACAAUAAGUAUGUAUAUAUACAUACAUACAUAUAUGUAUGUACAUAUGUAUAUACAUUUAUAAGCAUCUAUGAGUGCAAAACAAAACAGACAAAAAACAACGACAACAAAGCACAAAAUAUAGACACUCACCACUUGCAUAGUCUCCUAGCCAGGCCCCACUUCGUGCCGCGCAAUGGUACAUGGUGGGUCGGUGGCAGAGGGAGACGCAGAGACUUCGACGACGACAACAACGGCGGCAGCGACGGCGGCGGCUAUGAUGACAAUACCGCGCAACAACCCAAUUGUGUUUUGGUAGCAGACAACAUACAAGUUGUCUUCCAGUCAGGUCAUGUGUAGACACAAGACGAGAAUAGACCUUUCUCCUUCGUUUUGCCGUACACGCGGAACUGAUUUUCUACAAGACUCAAAUCAGUUCUUGCUAAAAGUCUGCUCCUAGACUUGGGAUUUUUUCUCGAACAUGUCCAAUUUUGUGUAUCAUGUGUCAUUUGUUUUGUGAGUGCUGUACAAGAAAGUUGAUUUUUUCCUGCGCGUCUUUUAUAAAACAACCAGAGUUACAUAUAUUUACAGUUUUGAGGACCACGAAAGAGCUAUGUUGGAUGAUCAAAAUAGAAACUACAAUGCAUUGUCCAAGGCGAAGAAUAUAGAAAACGGCGAAAUAAAUUAAUUUUGUCUUUUAGCUCGUAGAUUAUUUAGUUAUAAGUAAAACUGUUUAGAUAAUAUAUAAUUUUAAGUACUCAUUGUUUUAGUUUAAACAAAUUUAAUUUGAAGUGCAAUAAACAUUUUAUU